CCUACGGGUGGCUGCAGUGGGGAAUAUUGGACAAUGGGGGGAACCCUGAUCCAGCCAUGCCGCGUGUGUGAAGAAGGCCCUCGGGUUGUAAAGCACUUUCAGUGAGGAAGAACGCCUGGUGGUUAAUACCCAUCAGGAAAGACAUCACUCACAGAAGAAGCACCGGCUAACUCCGUGCCAGCAGCCGCGGUAAUACGGAGGGUGCGAGCGUUAAUCGGAAUUACUGGGCGUAAAGCGCGCGUAGGUGGCUUGAUAAGCCGGUUGUGAAAGCCCCGGGCUCAACCUGGGAAAGGCAUCCGGAACUGUCAAGCUAGAGUGCAGGAGAGGAAGGUAGAAUUCCCGGUGUAGCGGUGAAAUGCGUAGAGAUCGGGAGGAAUACCAGUGGCGAAGGCGGCCUUCUGGACUGACACUGACACUGAGGUGCGAAAGCGUGGGUAGCAAACAGGAUUAGAUACCCCUGUAGUC
This 465-nucleotide ribosomal RNA is filed under the name Vreelandella stevensii. Its description in RNAcentral is "partial 16S ribosomal RNA". It matches the Rfam family "Bacterial small subunit ribosomal RNA", at positions 338 to 795 of the family's 1533-position model. The record is from RNAcentral. Lineage: Bacteria; Pseudomonadati; Pseudomonadota; Gammaproteobacteria; Oceanospirillales; Halomonadaceae.